GUAGGGAAUAUUGGGCAAUGGUCGGAAGACUGACCCAGCCAUGCCGCGUGCAGGAAGACGGCCCUCUGGGUGGUAAACUGCUUUUAUCUGGGAAGAAAAAGGCCAUGCGUGGCAAAUUGCCGGUACCAGAUGAAUAAGCACCGGCUAACUCCGUGCCAGCAGCCGCGGUAAUACGGAGGGUGCGAGCGUUGUCCGGAUUUAUUGGGUUUAAAGGGUGCGUAGGCGGCUGAUUAAGUCAGCGGUGAAAGACUUCGGCUUAACCGGAGCAGUGCCGUUGAUACUGGUUGGCUUGAGUGUCGGAGGGGUACAUGGAAUUGAUGGUGUAGCGGUGAAAUGCAUAGAUACCAUCAGGAACACCGAUAGCGAAGGCAUUGUACUGGCCGACAACUGACGCUGAUGCACGAAAGUGUGGGGAUCGAACAGGAUUAGAAACCCUGGUAGUCC
This 444-nucleotide ribosomal RNA is filed under the name uncultured bacterium. RNAcentral's name for it is "partial 16S ribosomal RNA". It matches the Rfam family "Bacterial small subunit ribosomal RNA", at positions 354 to 796 of the family's 1533-position model. The record is from RNAcentral.